This 103-nucleotide microRNA precursor is filed under the name Glycine max (soybean). Its description in RNAcentral is "miR10407d stem-loop (gma-MIR10407d)". The record is from miRBase by way of RNAcentral. Lineage: Eukaryota; Viridiplantae; Streptophyta; Magnoliopsida; Fabales; Fabaceae.
AAUCAUUUCAACAACAAAUUUGUCACUUUGUGCCACGUAGGCUAUUUUAUUAACAGUAAUGGCCGAAAGUUAACGGCUGGAUAUAUUUGUUGCACUUUUUACA